UCCAUGAGGAAUAUGUAUGGGCAUGCCUUCACUUCUUCACACUCCUCUUCCUUUACUCUCAACUCUCUUCCCUCUCCCUCUCCCUCUCCUUCUCCCUCUGAAUUUAUUGCUUAUAUCAACGACAUCCCUUUGGGAAUUCAGAGUCUUUAUCUGUAUGAGAUCUAAGAACUGCAGACUUUGAUCAUGAAUUUUACAAGUCCUGUCAUGCUUUUCCACAGCUUUCUUGAACUUCAGCCUGAAUUUGAUCCAUCCAUCCAUCCACCCAUCUCUCUCUCUUUGUCUUCUGGGAUUUUUUUCAUCAAGCAAUGAAGUUCAAGAAAGCUGUGGGAAGACAUGGCCACUCAGGACUUCACCCGUUUUACCCCAAUUGUGCACAGAAUUGCCUGCCUGCACCUGCAGGAUGCAGCACAGCUGGUUUUGGUUGUUUCAGAUAUUGUCUCUGCAGGCUGCAGGCCGCGCGCUACCGUUGACGAUGAACCCGGCAAAUCCACCAAAUUCUGCUCCACGAUUGGCGUGAAUUCUUCCUUCUCGGUUUAGGUAAACGUCCCUUGUCUUAAAAUAGUUAGAAUUGCUCGUUAUAUGCAUAUUUCAAAGUUCAUGCCACAAUUGGAGGAAUAUUAGACGAAAGUCAAGACCACCCAGUUUCCAUGACUUCUUACCCUUUCUUUUCUUUCUUUUUUUUUUUUUUACCGCUGUUACAAAACCCUGCAUGGCCGUGUAAAACUUCUCCCGUGAAACUCUGAUCACUUUUUUUUUUCUUGAAUUGCCUGUUAAUGCGGCGCAAUGUUUUGUUUGAUUUCUCAUUAUUAUUUCAAGAGGUAGUUUAGUUAUCUAUGCUAGCAAGUUUAAGUUACAAAAGUAUAAUCGAAGUGGUGAAAACUGAAAGAUGUUGCAGAGAAGAUUCCCUGCCUUUCCUCUUUUUCUCAUCAAUAAUUGGUAGUUCAUCUUGUUUGCCCUUUGUUUUCUUGCUUCCCCAUCAUCUCAUGCGUUUCCGUGAAAAAAGGUUAAACUUUGUCAUUUUCUGAAAAUUCAAAAAAAAUUUUUUUACCACCCUCACCUCUCUCUCUCUCUCUCUCUACACACACUCACACAGUAGCAGUUCAGUACAUGCACACGCAGAGACACAUAUGGAUUCUCGCCUUCCUUGAUUAAUACCCUACGACUCGUCGACUACUACUUUACUACAUUAAACAGACCCCUCAAACUUGUGCAAUCUUGGAAGUUAAAAUAUGUCAGUACUAGUGUUCACUAAUGCUUGGUGGUUGAACUGAUAUAGUGCAUCAGUAAUAGUUAUUAGGAGUUUUCAAUGCAUUUUUUUCAGAGUGGCAGCAUAUCCUUCUGGGAUUAUAUCAAAUUUCCCGUCUAUGUUACAACUAGUCCAAUGACAUAUAUGAUCUCAUCAUCUAGGGAACUCUCUCCUUUUUUUUUUUUUUGGCCUAAAAUUCUCUGAAACAAUCUUCAGGCAGCAAUUUGCCCGGCUCAUCCUUCUCAUCUCAUCAGUGCACCAUUAUUAGUCCCUAGAUUUUUAAGCUCCAUCAGAGUCUGAUUCUUCUUGGAAAUUGUUGAAAUUUUGCAUUAACCACGAUCAACAACGAUGGGAAUAGGAAUUAAAAGUAAGAGAACAGAAAUUAGAAAAUGGUGCAUAAAAACAUACUACUGCUCAGAAGUGAGAAUUUAAGGAUGCGAUUAGACCUGUCACGGGUAGCUGAAAUAUCUAGAUGCGGUUUGGCAAGCAAAGCAGCAGUUUUGAUUGGUGGUUGAUGGGUAGGUCUGUUAAGAUUACUUAAAAUAGACCAGACAUUGGGGCAUGGCUGUCCUGUACCAAGUCUAAAAUAGAUUUGACAUUCAUAAAACCCAUGAAUGCCGUGGAGGUAGAGUUGCCUGCUCCUCUACUAUUUUUAAGAUUUGUCUGGCUGAAGAUGCCAGGAGCUGUGACUCGAGUGUUUGCGUUGAGGGGGUCAGGUUAUCACUAGUACUGAUUUGGUGUUGCAGUACUAGGGGAGUGGGCAAGAGUUUACUGAGGCAGUUGGAGAAGCAAAGUCAUCAGAUGAUCAGUCCUGAGGAGCUAAUGAAAAUUAGCCAGCAUCUCUGCCUUGGGCUAGUUGUUUUUUUUUUUUUUUUAUUAUAUAUAUAGUUUUUUUCCUUCCUCAAGUCAGUCAGACCAAUCACUUUUCAGUUUCUAUUUCCAGUUAUUGGUUUGGUUGAAAUGCCAGAGUGACGAGCAAUUCAUAAUCAAGUACGUCUAUAAUUAAUGUCAUUUUCUAGUUAAUUUUUUAUUUUAAUCAGUUUGAGUUAAUUUACCCUGUGAACCUGGCUCCGGCCCAAGGACCAAUUCCCAGUUCGCAUAGCACAUAACCAACCACCUUGUUGGGAAACUAGAUAGGUCCGUCUGCAAGUUUGCUAGCUCAAGGCUUCAUCUUCCCAUCUAUAAAGAAAAAUCCAAACCUCAUUAACUCGCAAUACUCUCGCAUUACGAAGCGUAUAGGGCAUAGAUAGCAGGAUAUCAACGUCUUCUGUUGUGAAUUGGGGACUGGAGUGUUGCAGGUCCUUCUUCUUUUUUCUUUUUAAUUUAUUUUUGUUUCUGAAAGUCCAUUAAAUCAUGGAUGAAUGAUACAAAUCAGAACUCAUGUCCUACAUAGCAACAAAUUAGAUUCAUUGUCCAUUCCCUUCAAUCUAUCAUAUAUGCCAUAGGUUUCAGUGGUUUUCGUAGAACUAUGUGCGAACUCAAGGACGAUCAUCUUAAUUCUUGAUUAGACUUUUUGAGCUAAUCUACGAAGCCCUUCCCUAACUACUAGGUAUGAUGUGAUGCAACCCCAUGGAAGGCCGAUUAAGUUAGGGGAGAUGUACAAGAGCGAGUAGCUGCAUAUUCCUAUUUCCUCACACACAUGGCGCAUAACUUUUGCCAUGCGUAUUAACAAUGAGGCCCAAGAUUGUUUUGCUGUAUACCUUUCUUUAAGGAACUUAAUUUACUUGCAAAGUAAGUUCCCAAGGAGGAGACAUUGUGAUACCUUCCAUGAAUGACUGACAAGGUGAUACGAAGGUAGCUGUCUUAUGAAGCCAUUGGACUGUGGUUUCUACUGUUUUGAUUGGUAACAACUAACAAAAACACUGCUCGGAGUGAGUUUUCCACAAUCAUAUCAAGAGAAACUCGAUCAAAACGGACCAAAACUGCAUAGGUCAAAGCCUAAAGGAUCAAACUAUAACAUAGAACUUUAAAACCAUUCUUCACUUAUAACCAAAACUAAUUAGCAAGUUUACUCUAAAAGCUAGUUGCUCAAACUAGUUAGUUCACCAAUAGUGGCUUAGAAAGUACUCAAAGCAAGGACCUGAGAGCGGGGAAGGACUGGUUCUCUACAACUAAAACGUAGUAUAGCCGUAGCAUGUGUAUGUACAAUGCUCUUUCAUGUCCAUUUCAUGAAAAACAUCUUGAAAAUGGUUUCAAUAUGAGAGGAAGAUUCUAUGAUAUAACUUGUUAGCAAAUUUAAAUUAAGAACAUGAAUCAAAAUCAUAUACCUUUCCAGAGAGCACAGACUUACAAUGCCGCGUUCUUUGAAAAACUUGGCCAACAUCAGAGUUUCUUAUUAGACCAUGUAGACCAUCCUUUCUAGGUGCCAACUAGAAUGAGAAGGUAAUCUGCAUCUAAAUGGUUAAGUGGUUGUUUGGUUACAAUUUGCUGACAAAGUUUCGAGCUUUAUUCAGGCAAACGGCUUUCUAAGCCAAUCAAGAGAUUACGUUUUAAGGGUGCCAUAGAAUCCUCAUUGGCUUAUCUAUUUCAGGUCGAAGUUUUAUUACCGAUUGGCUUUUUUGCAACAAAUCUAAAAGUGUAUGUCCCACAUUCCCCAUGGCAUACAAAAUCCAGCUACGAAUCCACAUCAAUGAUGUAAUACUUUAAUAAAUUCAAUCACUUGGUGCAAGGAGCUAUGGCAUAAGUCUGUCCUUAUGCCCCAUUAUCGACGAACAGAAAUGGCAAGUUAACUCCAGCCAUCUAGACUACUGGUCAUCAAAUGUUCUUUGUUUGGCACAGGUGUUGAAUCGAAAGCAUGAAUGGAUAAUGAGCAUUGUUGAAUCUCCAUCAAAUGCUAAUUAUAAAAACCUACUGUGCAGUUUCUGUAACAUCAGGUUCAGCAUAUUUUAGACUUCUGGACACUUUUUCCCCUAAUUGUGAUCUUCGGAUGCUGCAAAUGAUUUCUCUAAAAUGUCCUAAUGUCAACAGACUUGUUUUUUGUAUUCCGCAUAUAGGGCAGUAGUAAGAGUAGCAACAUUUUCAAGAAGUCAAGAAGAUGGAAAAGAAAGAUUCACGUUUGGCCUGAUUUCUCUUUCUGUUUCUCUCGUCUUGUCAGUCCAUGCAUGUAGUUUUGUUUCUCAAUGCUUCUCUCUCUCUCCCUCUCUCUCUGAUGAUGUUCAGUCUCGGCUUGUUCGGUCGUGUUACUUUAACAUUGUGUUUAUGAGUCUAAUGGAGUUCAUCGUAGUUUUGCAUUAAUAAAUCCAGCAACAUAACUAAGCACAUAAAGGGCAUUAAUUAGCCUUCAGCAGAAAUUGACGGCGGCCCUGAAUUGGCUGCUUUCUGGGGACAAUAUGACUUGAGGUUGCGACAUAUUUCUGAAGAAAAGCAUACAAAACUGGACGAGUGCCUCUCAAAUCGAGUUGUAUCCAAUUCGGUCCGGUUAUUAGAAUUUUUAUAACAUUUGACAUGCAUUCAUACAAUUUUGGUGUAAUUGUAAUUUCUACCCUAUCUUAGUUGCAUGAGUUGAACCUGCUUACACCAGAGGAUGUGACAAUAAUAUGACCGGAUAGAAUUGGACAACACUUCCAACUUGAAAAGCCCCGGAUCCUACAAAAACCUUUCAACCUUUCAAACUGACUACAGCGAAAUAAAGUAGGGGGGGGGGGGAAAUGUACAAUUGUUACAUAUCAGCAGCAUUUUUCUGGAGCAGGAGGAGGAGGAAAAAGAGAUUGGAUGUUGCGUCCAGCCAGAUUUGGGGCCCUUCUAGUUGAUUUCUGUCUUUUUAUAACUUUUGGCAUAAGUUCAUACAAUUUUACGUAGUCGUAAUUUUUACACUAACUCAGUUAAACGAGUUGACGAGCUCACACUUAACGUUUGGGAGAGGGAUGAAUUAGAUGGCUCAAAGGAAGGGGUAUAAAUAAGUAAGAAAACUCGAAUUCAUCUUGAGAGGAGAGGCCCCAUAUCCUAUCCAGUAAGUGCGCAAUGAUUUCUUGCAUGCAAUACACGUACUCGAAUAAGGGAAAGAUAAUUGUAAGAUAUGUACUAAUAUGUUUGAUUGUUGCAGCACCUUUUAAUUCGAGGAGUUAGAGCAACCAUAAAAUCACGCCAAGUUUUGCCUCCUCCUAACAGUACUUUACAUUAAUACAUAUUGGCCAAUAAGAGCGUGGAUCGUGCACGGUCGCAUUAUUGGUGAAUCAUUUAUAGUUCAUCUAAUCUGAUGAUGAGCUGUAUGAAGAAGAAGUUGGAAAUUAAUGCAUUACCAAACAAUUCUACAAAGAGACAGAUCACAUGUGAUUAAAUUUUGAUGCAGCAAUGCAAUGGGAGAAAACUUCUUCAUAUGAGUACCAAUGAUGACCUUUACUGAGAAAAUAAUUGGGGAAAGAGGCCAAUGUACGGACAAAUAAUGGGUGAAGCUUUUUGUCCACGAAUCAAUCAAUAUAUGUCUAAAAUUGUAUGCCUAAAUAAUCAAGGGGCGGAGAAGGCCGUCGUACAUUAAUGCUUCGACCCACCCCACCCCAGAAGAGUUCCCUUCUUCUUCAACAAUGAAUUGCAAACCAAAAGGGGUUCCAUUACGUACGGACGAAGAAGUUUAUUCAUUAUUGAUCAUAUAUAAAUGGGAGGCAGGCUUUUUCAGAAGAAGUAUAAAUCUAUUCGCAUUCAAAAAAAAAAAAAAAA
Molecule: long non-coding RNA, 5899 nt
Organism: Coffea arabica (coffee)
Lineage: Eukaryota; Viridiplantae; Streptophyta; Magnoliopsida; Gentianales; Rubiaceae
Source: RefSeq, a predicted model, not a curated record